RNAcentral lists this ribosomal RNA (167 nucleotides) under Aspergillus sp. A1. RNAcentral's name for it is "5.8S ribosomal RNA". It matches the Rfam family "5.8S ribosomal RNA". From Rfam's summary of the family: 5.8S ribosomal RNA (5.8S rRNA) is a component of the large subunit of the eukaryotic ribosome. Lineage: Eukaryota; Fungi; Ascomycota; Eurotiomycetes; Eurotiales; Aspergillaceae. The record is from RNAcentral. RNAcentral also lists the same sequence under 3 other names.
AAACUUUCAACAACGGAUCUCUUGGUUCCGGCAUCGAUGAAGAACGCAGCGAAAUGCGAUAAUUAAUGUGAAUUGCAGAAUUCAGUGAAUCAUCGAGUCUUUGAACGCACAUUGCGCCCCCUGGUAUUCCGGGGGGCAUGCCUGUCCGAGCGUCAUUGCUGCCCUCA